CCUCCCAACUAGCUAGGAUUUCAGAAUCCUUGCCCAGCAUCCAGCACCUCCUUCCUGUCCAGGAUCACCUUCUGGUGGAUCACAGGGUUGAUCAUCCGGGGCUACCACCAGCCCCUGGAGAGCAGUGGCCUCUGGUCCUUAAAGGAGGAGGACACAUUGGAACAAGUCAUACCUGUUUUGGUAAAGAACUGGAAGAAGAAAUGCACCAAGCCUAGGAAUGGAUGACAAGUAUUUGUUCAACACCUGCUGUGCAUUGUUUUAUGUACUGAGGAUACAGCAGCCCACCUGGAGCUGACAUUCUAGUGGGGAAAGAAAGGGUCAUGGCCAUCAGCGGUCCAGGGAAGAAAGCAAAGCAAAUGGAGAAUGGCAUGCUGUGACAGACAGUGCGGGGAAGCAACUACAGAGAUAGCUCAGCAGCUCCUCCUCCUAUAGCGGGGACAUCAGUAGGCACCAUAACAGCACCACAGAGCUGCAGAAAGCCAAAACCAAGGAGGAGGAGACUUGGAAGCUGAUGGAGGCCAACACGGCACAGACAGGGCAGGUCCAGGUAAAGGCUCUGACACUUUCUCAAGGACACACUGCUGAGACUUCCAGAUUCCAGAUUAUGCAGUGCUCCAUGGCAGUCUCCAAUCUUCAAAUCUUCAAUCUAUGACAGCACAGAUUCCUGAAAGGAUGGCCUCAAAUGACCAGGAGUGACUCUCUACAUCCCUGCUCCUGAAUAACAAGCUAAUUGGAGUCUCCAUCAACUGCCCCGAGCAUAGACACACCUCCAAUUUCCCAACUGAACUUCAUGACUGAUUGGCCAGUCAAUCAUGCCCCUGACCCAGCCUACAUGAACAUUGGAAGACCAUCAGUGAAUUAUGAAAAGAAGGAGAGGCGAGGAGACACCUGCCCUGGGCUACAGAUCUAUGUUGUUCAGCAAUCUCCAGCCCCUAGUACUCAAGAAGCUCUAAGCCACCCCUCUGUAAGUCAGAAUGGAAGCACGUGAUACCACAUUUCUAUCUACUGUAGAGACUCUUCCCAGUGUCUCAAAAUGUUUUAGCAUCUUUCAGUAAAAAUUUUCAUGUCAGUUAUUGAUUAAAAAAAAAAAAAGCAGCAAUGUGUUUAAAGCUCCCUUGAACCCUCUAUUUUAAUGUGCCUUUGUAAAUUCCCAAGAUCUUGUGUUCUUCAUCUUUGUAAUUUAUCUUUAUUAAACUUGUCAUAAACUCCAAUAUUCUGAUCUCUUA
Long non-coding RNA from Cebus imitator (Panamanian white-faced capuchin), 1226 nucleotides. RefSeq lists it as uncharacterized. The record is from RefSeq and is a predicted model, not a curated record. The transcript has 8 exons. Lineage: Eukaryota; Metazoa; Chordata; Mammalia; Primates; Cebidae.